CUUCCCUCUGGCGGCGUGCCUAAUACAUGCAAGUCGAGCGAACAGACGAGGAGCUUGCUCCUCUGACGUUAGCGGCGGACGGGUGAGUAACACGUGGAUAACCUACCUAUAAGACUGGGAUAACUUCGGGAAACCGGAGCUAAUACCGGAUAAUAUAUUGAACCGCAUGGUUCAAUAGUGAAAGACGGUUUUGCUGUCACUUAUAGAUGGAUCCGCGCCGCAUUAGCUAGUUGGUAAGGUAACGGCUUACCAAGGCAACGAUGCGUAGCCGACCUGAGAGGGUGAUCGGCCACACUGGAACUGAGACACGGUCCAGACUCCUACGGGAGGCAGCAGUAGGGAAUCUUCCGCAAUGGGCGAAAGCCUGACGGAGCAACGCCGCGUGAGUGAUGAAGGUCUUCGGAUCGUAAAACUCUGUUAUUAGGGAAGAACAAAUGUGUAAGUAACUAUGCACGUCUUGACGGUACCUAAUCAGAAAGCCACGGCUAACUACGUG
Molecule: ribosomal RNA, 496 nt
Filed under: uncultured bacterium
Lineage: Bacteria
Description: partial 16S ribosomal RNA
Rfam family: Bacterial small subunit ribosomal RNA
Source: RNAcentral